GUCGUGUUUGUGUGCGUAUAGCGCGAGUUGAGGAGGUUUUUAAGGUUAGCUGUCCAGCCCACAACUUUACUAUUUUGGCUCACUAUCACUACUCUAACAGCAGUCGUUGUCUACCGCAGCAGGACGGCUUAAUCAAGAAAUCGUUGUUGGUGGUCAACUCCUCAGCUGUCUCAAAGAUGUGCUUCCAGUGUGGUUUUCCUGUCGUUGCUGUGGGACUCUGAAGUUGACUCUUCAAAAAUAAAUGCCAAGCUAAGAACUUCCUGCCAAAUGCUGCUGACUGAGACCUCUGCUGACCUCACCAGGAAAAAAAAUAUCAGCACCAUCUAGUGGAUCGAAAAUGCAAUUGAUUUUAUUAUUCUAGUGCCAUUGUAUUAAAAUGUGUACUUGCAAAAACGAAUGAUGUAAGCUAUAUAAUAAAAGAUCAAUACUUUGUCCCUUUACCGAUACAGUA
Long non-coding RNA from Epinephelus fuscoguttatus (brown-marbled grouper), 451 nucleotides. RefSeq lists it as uncharacterized. The record is from RefSeq and is a predicted model, not a curated record. The transcript has 3 exons. Lineage: Eukaryota; Metazoa; Chordata; Actinopteri; Perciformes; Serranidae.